This 268-nucleotide ribosomal RNA is filed under the name Paenibacillus popilliae. RNAcentral describes it as "partial 16S ribosomal RNA". It matches the Rfam family "Bacterial small subunit ribosomal RNA", at positions 1266 to 1533 of the family's 1533-position model. Lineage: Bacteria; Bacillati; Bacillota; Bacilli; Caryophanales; Paenibacillaceae. The record is from RNAcentral.
AGCGAAUCCUAAAAAGCCAGUCUCAGUUCGGAUUGCAGGCUGCAACUCGCCUGCAUGAAGUCAGAAUUGCUAGUAAUCGCGGAUCAGCAUGCCGCGGUGAAUACGUUCCCGGGUCUUGUACACACCGCCCGUCACACCACGAGAGUUUACAACACCCGAAGUCGGUGGGGUAACCGCAAGGAGCCAGCCGCCGAAGGUGGGGUAGAUGAUUGGGGUGAAGUCGUAACAAGGUAGCCGUAUCGGAAGGUGCGGCUGGAUCACCUCCUUU